This 253-nucleotide ribosomal RNA is filed under the name uncultured bacterium. RNAcentral describes it as "partial 16S ribosomal RNA". It matches the Rfam family "Bacterial small subunit ribosomal RNA", at positions 524 to 776 of the family's 1533-position model. The record is from RNAcentral.
UACGUAGGGUGCGAGCGUUGUCCGGAAUUAUUGGGCGUAAAGAGCUUGUAGGCGGUUUGUCGCGUCUGCUGUGAAAAUCCGGGGCUCAACCCCGGACUUGCAGUGGGUACGGGCAGACUAGAGUGUGGUAGGGGAGACUGGAAUUCCUGGUGUAGCGGUGAAAUGCGCAGAUAUCAGGAGGAACACCGAUGGCGAAGGCAGGUCUCUGGGCCAGUACUGACGCUGAGGAGCGAAAGCGUGGGGAGCAAACAGG